This is a microRNA precursor of Oryza rufipogon (brownbeard rice), 204 nucleotides long. It matches the Rfam family "MIR812 microRNA precursor family". The record is from Rfam. Lineage: Eukaryota; Viridiplantae; Streptophyta; Magnoliopsida; Poales; Poaceae.
AAAAAGACAAACCCUGGGUUUGCGUGUCCAACUUUGACUGUCCGUCUUAUAUGAAAUUUUUUUAUAAUUCGUAUUUUUAUUGUUGUUAGAUGAUAAAACAUGAUUAAUACUUUGUGCGUGACUUGUCUUUUUAAUUUUUUUCAUAAUUUUUUCAAAUAAGACGGACGUCAAACAUUGGACACGAAAAUUAGGGAUUGUCUUUUU